ACUUAAAUAGCUUAUUAAUUAGAGCAUAAUAUUGAAGAUAUUAAGGAGAUUAUUUAUCUUUAAGUA
Molecule: transfer RNA, 66 nt
Filed under: Neope ramosa
Lineage: Eukaryota; Metazoa; Arthropoda; Insecta; Lepidoptera; Nymphalidae
Description: tRNA-Phe
Source: RNAcentral